AAAUGUUUGCAGUUGGAAACAAAUGAGCUCCAUGCUAGCCUUACUGUGUGCAAUGGAAAACACUUGCAAACAAAGAAAAAAUAACUCAUUAAGUGGUGAACCUCUGACCCUGGAUCAAAGUCACUGACCUGAUGCUACAGUAGCCUUUGCCUUUACUGUGGAGGCUGUGAGCCGAGUGAGAACUGGCCCACAACUGCCUCCACAGCUCCUGUCACUGAGGCUUUAUAUGGCUGCCUGCAGCUGUGGAGAGCUUGAUGCCCCUGUGAGGUCAUGUGAUGCUUGAAUUAAAAAUUUGUACAAACAAAAGAGAAAAGGAUCUGCAUCUGCUGUUGGCUGCCGGUGAGGUCCCAACCCUGCAAGGUGCCAGCCAUGCUGGUAGGGGAUUGAUAAGAAGACUGGGGCGUCCUGGGAACUGAGGAUUUCAAGGUCAAUUGGUCAUGUCUGCUGUCUGGAACAGCCCCAGCAUUGCCAUUAUCUAUCCCCCGAUGAACCUGUUGGUGGCUGCAGCUACCGGAGGUUGGGAGCUGGGGCAUCCAAGCGGGAUCAAGGGGAGCCAACAGAGACAAAGACCCUCAUUGUUCACAUCUCAGCCUUGGAUUCAUCUUACGCAUCUUAUUGGUUAUGUUGUUAACAUAAGUAACUAG
RNAcentral lists this long non-coding RNA (644 nucleotides) under Lepidothrix coronata (blue-crowned manakin). RNAcentral describes it as "lncRNA (ENSLCOG00000006891.1)". The record is from RNAcentral. Lineage: Eukaryota; Metazoa; Chordata; Aves; Passeriformes; Pipridae.